ACCAGUUCCUGAAAGAUCACUGAAAUUAAGAAACUUUGAGUGUGGUCAGUAUCUGGAUGGAUGACCGCCUGGAAAAUCUCGUACUGCUGCAG
RNAcentral lists this ribosomal RNA (92 nucleotides) under Diaphorina citri (Asian citrus psyllid). Lineage: Eukaryota; Metazoa; Arthropoda; Insecta; Hemiptera; Psyllidae. The record is from RNAcentral.